GUGAGGACUCAGCCGGUCUCGUCACCGUGAACGUCACUCGUGGCCCCGCCCGCGCUGUCGCCCGCCGCAGCAGCCCCAGGCGUUGUAAAGGUCACAAGUUGCCUUAAGGAAUGGAUCAGCGCUCUCUAAGCGGGGCACUUUACCCCCACGGAGGGGGCCUGGCCUGGGUGUUCGUGAGUUACGCUUCUGGAGUCGUGGAGAAAUCGUCGGGGCCGGGCGCUUGUGAUUUCUCAAGACUUUGCUCCUCCCAUAGACGACCUAGGCGUUUUGCGUGGGAGGACGUUCCCGUCCCUUUUUUAUUUUUUUUUAAGCUGUGGGAAAAUGGGAGAGAAAAUAUGAUUGGGCGUAGGGACUGAGCUGCCGGCAGACUAGCUGAACUUUCCAUUGAGCUGGGUGUUUGCUGAGUCCGUUACCAUCCCCCAAAUCCGCACAGCCUCUGAAAUCAGACUGUUUAGAUUGAAAUUCUAGCUCUACUGGGCGCUAUCAACUCUCUUCAGGCUCUGGAAUCUAGUCAACCGCAGCAAUCAGGGGAAGGCCUAGUGAAGACAGAAGCUGCUGCUCUGAGAGCUCACGGCUCCUUGCUGCUGGCAUUCAGUGUCUGGAAGGAGUUGCUUCAAGUAUUUUGUCUGGUUUCUAG
This is a long non-coding RNA of Lepus europaeus (European hare), 637 nucleotides long. RefSeq lists it as uncharacterized. The transcript has 4 exons. The record is from RefSeq and is a predicted model, not a curated record. NCBI's taxonomy places the organism in Eukaryota, Metazoa, Chordata, Mammalia, Lagomorpha, Leporidae.